GCCCAUUUUAUUCCAGGGACAACAUGAAAAAGAGUGAAGACCUGGGUGUACUGGUGGCUGUGUGCACACAGCGCGACAAACGUGCUGCUUUCACAAGCUCUCACAGCUCAGCUUGCCUCUGCCUCCUGCAAGGCUGGCUCCUACCUGCUGCAAACGAGCAAAGCUUCGUCUGUGUCGUGUCCCUGGGAUGCUGCACAGCACCAAGUGGCACCAGGCACUGCCUCCCCCCCUUCCCAGGCCUUUGCCACCCAGGCCUGCACCAUCCCCAAAGCUGGCUCCACACAGUGCUGCGCUGGGACAGGGCUCCGGAGCAUCCUGCCCUUUCCCUGGGGUACUCAUCCGGCCAGCUGGGAGGCCUCUGCCUCCCUGCAGUGCUCCCGUUGGCUCUGACCUCCUGGCUGGAGUGGCACUGGGGCCCCACAGUCAGUGAAAUACUGCCUGCUUGCAGGAUUUGAACAAAAUCAGUGGAGUUAGUGGUAGAAUCAGGCUAGGUAAAGGCAUGGAGGCGUCGGGUCCCUCACUCAGCUGGCUGCAGCCCUCCACCUGCACAUGCACACACACACACAUUUUUUCUUCUCCCUGCAAGCACAUCUCCUCUCCCGCACACACGUGCUGUCUUCUCUCCCACGCACUUUCUCUUUCCCCAGCUCUCAGCCACCCACGGUUUCACCGUUUCCCCCCUCUGUCUGUCACACCCAAGGAAAACCCUCCCGUUUACUUGCGGCUGAUAACCGCUCUGUCGGGACGCAUUUCACAGAACCAGUGGGAGCAGAGCACAGAGGCAGCCGCCCCCCCACCACGGCACCGACCCCUACAAUAAAAGCCGCCAGGUGAAUCCCCACGGGAGAGGCAGCGCCCCUGGCAGUGAGGGCUGAGGAAAGCUCACCCAGCCUCCUGGGGAGGAGUAGCACUUAAACGGGUCAACACUGAAGACGCAGCUCCGUUCAGGAGGUCCUCACAACCCUUUGUUCAAUUUUCCAGCAUGUCAGAACCCCAUCUGCUGGGUGACACUCCUUCCAUACAAACGCACCAACUUCCAGAGGCAACAACAUGAUGACCCCGUUGUUCUGGCACUGAGACGAGAGCAGAGACUUUAGGGUUCAUUCCCAAAGUUUCCACAGAUUCCCUGCAGGACCACAGGCGAGCCACUUCAUCACCGCGCCUCUCGGUUGUCUGUCAGCAUCCUCGGGUCUGCAGGGCACGGGCUGGCUGUCACCGGGUCACCGGGCAGCGGCAGCACAGCUGGCCCUGUGCUGUGUAAAUAAACCUGCCUGGUGCUACUGCAGUAGGAGUCAGCGAGGUUUGCAGCGGGACUCGGCUGUUGCUAUAGGAAGCUGCUGUCAUCAUACCUCCAGGUUUUCUGAGUCAAUUCCCGAUUUUACAGCUAAAAUAAUACACAAACCUUUUUUACGUUAGUGAGCUUUAUUUAGGAAAUAAAUAAAAUGUUAAGAAAAUAUGAAUGAUUGUAAUAAAUACAGCACUUGUCAAAAUUGCACAGCUACGAAAAGCAUAAUAUUUUUAGGCAUAUUACUCCAGUGUGGUUAGAGGGUCUGGCACAUAACUGGAAAAAUAACUUUCUGUGCCUGAAAGAACAUUUUAAACACGGAAGAGAAAAAAACUAUGGGGCAGGGCAAAGAACAUCCAGUUCCUUCCCAAACAACCUUUGACAGAUAUUUGUUUAUGAAAUUUUUUUGUUUUCUGAAAUCUGAUACUUCAUCACAACUAAUUAUUUAAAAGGAUGCUGUCGAGAUAGAAAUGAGAGAUUGAAAAAUCUGUUCGUAAGUCAGCAGUCAGGCUGGAGGUUAGUUACAGCACAUGACAUUUCACCAGCUCUACCAGACAGCUGCUGUUUCCAUGGUUUGCAAAAUAUCAGUGGACAAACAGUUUCUCCUUUCCCUUCUCAUGCAGUGGGCACAAUAUUGUCUCUCAGUUUUGAGUUUUCAAGUGAGACAUGGGGAAUAUUGCAGAGGAAAAAUGAAUAUAGUUGCAUAAAAGCCUUUCACUCAUAAAUACACGCUUGCCUCUGUCUGCAAGAUCAGGCCUUGGGUUCGUGCACUACAGUCCCACUGGUCCUGGAGAAUGCCUUGCGGUCCUGGACGAGCAAGCUGUGCUGCUGGCAUGAGUUUGCUGGAAGUUCAGAAACUGCUGCACCAAAACCUGACUCCAGUGAUUUUGCCAAUCAGUUGUUAAGUAGGGAAUAAAGAGCAUGAUGCUUGCUGUUUUGGAGGAUAAGGUUUAGCAUUUGAACUUCAUACAUUUGCAAGCUUGACUUGAUUGUAAAAAUAGUCUCUAUUCAUUCCUUGCCUCUAUUUAAAAAAAAAAAAAAGGAUAAAAACAUUUCUAGUAGAUAUUUCCAUUUUAGCAUGU
Molecule: long non-coding RNA, 2367 nt
Organism: Cygnus olor (mute swan)
Lineage: Eukaryota; Metazoa; Chordata; Aves; Anseriformes; Anatidae
Exons: 2
Source: RefSeq, a predicted model, not a curated record